This 1104-nucleotide ribosomal RNA is filed under the name Triticum aestivum (bread wheat). RNAcentral describes it as "partial small subunit ribosomal RNA". The record is from RNAcentral. Lineage: Eukaryota; Viridiplantae; Streptophyta; Magnoliopsida; Poales; Poaceae.
AUGACGAUUGAAACUGUUGUUCUACUGAUGGCAGAUGUGUUAGCAGUCAUCCUUAUUGGUCUGGUUCUUUUGCGAGUAAUGGGAAAACAGAAGUUUUGUACGGCGGAUAAACCAGUGAAUUCCAAUAGCGGCCUCACGAUCUUCUCGGAUACUCAGAUAAAGAGAGCAACUAGAAAUUUCUCGGAGAAACUUGGAGAAGGAGGCUUCGGCUGUGUUUUCAAGGGGACAUUGCAAGGUUCCUCCGUGGUGGCCGUCAAAAAGCUUAAAGACAUUAGGCAAGGGGAGAAGCAAUUCCGAGCAGAAGUGCAAACAGUUGGAAUCAUCCAGCACAUCAAUCUUGUUCGUUUAUAUGGGUUUUGUGCCGAGGGAAGCAAGAGGUUGCUGAUAUACGAGUACAUGGAGAACGGAUCUUUGAGUUCCCAUCUGUUUUCAAGGACUUCUGUAAAGCUAAUCUGGGAGCUCCGGUACCGUAUAGCAUUUGGGAUUGCAAGAGGCUUGGCUUAUCUACACGAGGAAUGCGAGGACUGCAUUAUACACUGCGACAUGAAGCCGGACAAUGUGCUCCUUGAUGCACAUUUCUGUCCUAAGAUUGCAGACUUCGGUAUGGCGAAGCUUCUUGGUCGAGAUUUCAACAGGGCCCUGACAACAAUGCGGGGAACCAUCGGAUACCUUGCACCGGAGUGGAUCUCGGGGCUUCCCAUCACACACAAAUCUGAUGUUUACAGCUACGGAAUGACACUUCUUGAGAUUAUAUCAGGGCGAAGGAAUGCAGAGAAAAUUAAGGAAGGGAGGUUCACUUACUUUCCCAUCUUUGCUGCAGUCAAGGUGGCCGAAAGAGAUGUCAUGUGCCUGCUGGAUAGUUGGCUGGAUGGCUAUGUCAAUGUCGAGCAGCUGAGCAGAGCUUGCAAGAUCGCAUGCUGGUGCAUCCAAGAUGAUGAGGAUCACAGGCCAAUGAUGGGGCAAGUUGUUCGCAUGCUAGAGGGUGUCAUGGAUGUUGAAGUGCCUUCUGUUGCGAGAACUAAACGAGUCUAUGCUUUAACUGGCCAAAGAGAAGAAAGAAAGAUUUUGGGAACCAGAUCCUCUGACUUGCACAAGGCAAGUUAG